AUGUUGUCCAGCUCAUCCUCACGCUCGUGGAUUCGCCUCCUCCUAUACGCGACACUUGAAACAUGGACGUGUUUGAAGCAGAACCUCCGUCUUCUAUCUCAACGCCGGCGGCCCGACGGCGUCGAAUCCUUAUUGACGCCCGUCGGCGGCCCAGUGAUGCGACCAGAUCACUGCAAAUUGCUCCAUUCAUGUCAGCAGCCUAAUCAGGUGGAGGUAGUCAUGUUGGCACCACUGUUUUGCUUCGUGCUGAUGUGGUAUAAAAGUGCCUCCUCGGCAGAUGAGGACCUGAGCGUGGCCGUGCUAAUGAGGAUGCAGGAUCCACUGCCACCGGCCAGUCCGAGUGAUUGCAGAGAACUUGGCAGGCAGAUCAAUUACGAGGAGGUCAAGGCUGAGCUGAAGUGGGGUGGGCGCCAACAUGAAGGAGUUGGAGAUAUCUCUAUUUUUGGUGUGUGGUGGUGGACAUAA
RNAcentral lists this ribosomal RNA (465 nucleotides) under Triticum aestivum (bread wheat). RNAcentral's name for it is "partial small subunit ribosomal RNA". The record is from RNAcentral. Lineage: Eukaryota; Viridiplantae; Streptophyta; Magnoliopsida; Poales; Poaceae.